UCUCACCAAAACUCGUUUUAUUCUUUGAGAAGCAGCUCCAAAGAGUUAACGACGAUGGGCUCGUAACAGCGCCAGAAAAUCAAUUAAGAUGGAUUCGCGCAUAGUCGUAGCAGUUGCUCUUAUUUUAAACACUGUCGUUUGUGCUGACGUCAACAAUGUCCAUCAAAACAACAGCGUCGUCGAAGAUGUUACACGCCCGUUGACUGAAAAACUAAGCCAGCAAAAUGCGGGAAUCAGGCAUUUCCUAAAGACUGAUUUCCCACCAAGAAUUGGACCUUUGCAAUCAGAAAAGACACAAGCUGAAAAUUUUGCGGCAGAAUUUCAACAAUGGUAUGACUACCACUACGGAAAUAGGCCUUCACCCGGUGGUAAUCAACCUGGAGGAGGCAAUCCCCCUGGAGGGGGUGGUCACCCAGGCUGGGGUAAUAACCCUGGGGGAGGCAGUAAUCCCGGAGGGGGUGGUCACCCUGGCUGGGGUAAUAACCCUGGAGGAGGUGGAUGUUCUAGAAAUGGGCCUGCAUGUGAGUCUUGCAACAGCUGUUGUUCGUGCUGUAAUUCGUGCAGCCAAUGCUCUUCUGGUAGAUGUCAGCCCCCACCUCCGCCUCCUUGUCAAAUGAACAGAAAUAAUUAUUACGGUCGUGAUCUGCAUUCAGGGUUUGAAGACUGGGGAAAUCGAUGGGCAGAUAGAAAUAACUGGAACUAUCCACACUAUGAUAGCAAUUAUUACGGUCGUGGACUAGACUACGAUUCAUAUUAUUAGGGUCGCAAAUUUUUAAAGGUGAUAUUUGUCGGGCAUUGGAAAUGCAAAAUACUUACAUACUUAUUUUUUCCCAAUUGUAAACCGGACCUAGAUGUAUCAAGAACCAAUUGAUAGGUGUGAUUGUAGUUUAUAAUAAAAAAAAACUAUUGAUGUAUUGGUUUUAUGCAUUGCAAGGCUGUUGUACUGAAUAAACGCGUCAUUAAAA
This is a long non-coding RNA of Cloeon dipterum, 965 nucleotides long. RefSeq lists it as uncharacterized. Lineage: Eukaryota; Metazoa; Arthropoda; Insecta; Ephemeroptera; Baetidae. The transcript has 3 exons. The record is from RefSeq and is a predicted model, not a curated record.